GUCGACGGGCUCUUCGGAGCAAGUGGCGGACGGGUGAGUAACGCGUGAGAAUGUGCCUUGAGGAUGGGGAUAACAAUAGGAAACUAAUGCUAAGACCCAAUGUGCCUUAAGUGGUGAAAAAUGAAAAUUGCCUGAAGAGGAGCUCGCGUCUGAUUAGCUAGUUGGGGUGGUAAAAGCGCACCAAGGCGACGAUCAGUAGCUGGUCUGAGAGGAUGAGCAGCCACACUGGGACUGAGACACGGCCCAGACUCCUACGGGAGGCAGCAGUGGGGAAUUUUCCGCAAUGGGCGAAAGCCUGACGGAGCAAUACCGCGUGAGGGAGGAAGGCUCUUGGGUUGUAAACCUCAAAACUUAGGGAAGAAAAAAAUGACGGUACCUAAUAUAAGCAUCGGCUAACUCCGUGCCAGCAGCCGCGGUAAUACG
RNAcentral lists this ribosomal RNA (423 nucleotides) under uncultured bacterium. Its description in RNAcentral is "bacterial SSU rRNA". It matches the Rfam family "Bacterial small subunit ribosomal RNA", at positions 61 to 527 of the family's 1533-position model. The record is from RNAcentral.